UAGAGUUUGAUCCUGGCUCAGGAUGAACGCUGGCGGCGUGCUUAACACAUGCAAGUCGAACGAAGCACUUUAUUUGAUUUCCUUCGGGACUGAUUAUUUUGUGACUGAGUGGCGGACGGGUGAGUAACGCGUGGGUAACCUGCCUUGUACAGGGGGAUAACAGUUGGAAACGGCUGCUAAUACCGCAUAAGCGCACGGCAUCGCAUGAUGCAGUGUGAAAAACUCCGGUGGUAUAAGAUGGACCCGCGUUGGAUUAGCUAGUUGGUGAGGUAACGGCCCACCAAGGCGACGAUCCAUAGCCGACCUGAGAGGGUGACCGGCCACAUUGGGACUGAGACACGGCCCAAACUCCUACGGGAGGCAGCAGUGGGGAAUAUUGCACAAUGGGCGAAAGCCUGAUGCAGCGACGCCGCGUGAGCGAAGAAGUAUUUCGGUAUGUAAAGCUCUAUCAGCAGGGAAGAUAAUGACGGUACCUGACUAAGAAGCACCGGCUAAAUACGUGCCAGCAGCCGCGGUAAUACGUAUGGUGCAAGCGUUAUCCGGAUUUACUGGGUGUAAAGGGAGCGUAGGCCGGAGAUUAAGCGUGUUGUGAAAUGUAGACGCUCAACGUCUGCACUGCAGCGCGAACUGGUUUCCUUGAGUACGCACAAAGUGGGCGGAAUUCGUGGUGUAGCGGUGAAAUGCUUAGAUAUCACGAAGAACUCCGAUUGCGAAGGCAGCUCACUGGAGCGCAACUGACGCUGAAGCUCGAAAGUGCGGGUAUCGAACAGGAUUAGAUACCCUGGUAGUCCGCACGGUAAACGAUGGAUGCCCGCUGUUGGUCUGAAUAGGUCAGCGGCCAAGCGAAAGCAUUAAGCAUCCCACCUGGGGAGUACGCCGGCAACGGUGAAACUCAAAGGAAUUGACGG
RNAcentral lists this ribosomal RNA (908 nucleotides) under uncultured bacterium. Its description in RNAcentral is "bacterial SSU rRNA". It matches the Rfam family "Bacterial small subunit ribosomal RNA", at positions 1 to 916 of the family's 1533-position model. The record is from RNAcentral.